RNAcentral lists this ribosomal RNA (610 nucleotides) under Limnobacter sp. RNAcentral describes it as "bacterial SSU rRNA". It matches the Rfam family "Bacterial small subunit ribosomal RNA", at positions 32 to 637 of the family's 1533-position model. The record is from RNAcentral. Lineage: Bacteria; Pseudomonadati; Pseudomonadota; Betaproteobacteria; Burkholderiales; Burkholderiaceae.
GGCCUUGCCGGCUGCCCCUUCCCAUGCAAGUCGAACGGUAACAGGGAGCUUGCUCCGCUGACGAGUGGCGAACGGGUGAGUAAUACAUCGGAACGUGCCCAGUAAUGGGGGAUAGCUCGGCGAAAGCCGGAUUAAUACCGCAUACGCCCUGAGGGGGAAAGUGGGGGACCGCAAGGCCUCACGUUAUUGGAGCGGCCGAUGGCUGAUUAGCUAGUUGGUAGGGUAAAGGCCUACCAAGGCGACGAUCAGUAGCUGGUCUGAGAGGACGAUCAGCCACACUGGGACUGAGACACGGCCCAGACUCCUACGGGAGGCAGCAGUGGGGAAUUUUGGACAAUGGGGGAAACCCUGAUCCAGCAAUGCCGCGUGUGCGAAGAAGGCCUUCGGGUUGUAAAGCACUUUUGUCAGGGAAGAAAUCCUUUGGGCUAAUACCCUAGGGGGAUGACGGUACCUGAAGAAUAAGCACCGGCUAACUACGUGCCAGCAGCCGCGGUAAUACGUAGGGUGCAAGCGUUAAUCGGAAUUACUGGGCGUAAAGCGUGCGCAGGCGGUUGUGUAAGACAGGUGUGAAAUCCCCGGGCUUAACCUGGGAAUUGCAUUUGUGACUGCA